AAGAGGGGUAAAGACCGUUCAGCGGCAGAGUUCAGACAUGAAGCUUGAUAUCCUUUUCCAAAAUCGCUAGCUAUAAUUGAAACAAUUUGCGAUGUGCCUGUUCUGCAGAUACUCACGCUUGCUUGUCCUCCCUUCCUGCAGCUUCGUGGGGCGGUGAGUGCUACAGCCCGGUUACGUGUUGUUGGGAAAGUAUGUGACUUAGCCUCUUUUUUAUUUGCCACGUCUCACAUUUUCCUGGCUGGCCCCUUUCUUCUCUAGAUCUGACAGGAGGAGGGACACAGGGAGCCAGUUUUACCUGCAGAUUUUCUUCACAGCAUCCCCUAAGUCGCUGCUGUCUCCAUGGCAACCCAAAGCAGACCACAUCUUUCCUUUGAGUCCGGGCUCGAGGCCACCCCGGAGGCAGAAUUCGCUCCAACGCCCGGGAGCUUCUCCCCAUACCGUACCGCGAUUUGAGAGCAACGACUCCCCAGGCAGGGCCCUCAGCCCUCCUGCCUCCCUGCCUGCCCCCUGCAAACGGUACGUGGCCGGGGGCAGGUCUGGUCUCCAGCUGCAGGCAGCAUGGAUGUGCAAAACCCCACGCGGUGGUGACCUUGCAGACCUCCUCUGAGCCUGUGCCCGCACCCUCGCAGCUUUGCCCGGCCGGACCGCGUGGCGACAAGGGAAGCCCCUGCCGCUUUGAGCGGGUUUGCUCUGUGCAUGCUCUUUGCUCCGGCGCUGCUGCUCACGUCUGCUCUGUGCAUUGCUUCCUCCUUCCAGGUAUCUGCGCCAAGGAGGAGGGAGAGGGUGCAAUUUCCUCCUGCGCCGGGAAGGCUGUGGCUGGUGCAAAGCCUGGUCACUUCCAAGCCUGCAGCAGGCCCUAGGUUUUACCAGGAGCUACAGGUUUCUUCUGCCUGAGGAAGCAGAGAGUGGACAGCGCAUUUCCCAGGAGAAAGGAAGCUGCUGAUGGCGAAGAUAAAAGUUUAUGAAGCACGGACCUGCCCAGGAGCAGACCGAAGCCAGUUCUCCCCAGCCUGGCGCCGCGUAGCCGAAGGCGAGGCCUGGAGGCUCCCUCCUGUCCUCUGAAGAAGCGACUGGGGAUACGAGCUUUCGGCAGACGCCGAGGUCAAAAGGAAGGAGCCGUCCUUCGCCCGGCGUCUUUGGAGAACGGCUCCUUGCAACGUGAGUACUUGUGGGCUGGAAAAGAAGUAAAUUACUAUCAAGAACGUCACAGAAUUGUGAAGCCUUUCCUUCGCCACAUGCUGAGACGACCUUCAGUUUUCAAGAUGAUGUGUCAAGAAGUUUGGGUCAAAGACUAUAAUCAGUAAGAGACGGGGGACAGGACUGAGCCCACCCAGCGAAGCAGGACCGUCGACGAGGCAGUUACCACCUUCUCCUGCGUGUGCACGUGGAAUGGUUCUGUAGAGAAAUACUGGAGCUUCCGCACAGAAAGGAGCCCCGCACUUCUGAAGAGAAGUUUUCAACGAAGGACUUAGAAUCUUUUAAAAAUGAGCUAAUUUCUAGUAUUCUUGGUUUUCUUACACAUGUAUAUAAUUGAUUAGGGGGACAGGACUGUGCAUGUCCAGCAAAGCUUUACCAGAGUCUUCUCUCUUAAAUGUUUGAGAUUGCGUGUUUUUGCUCUACUUGAAGAUGCUGAAGUUUCAGCAUAAGCAAAUGUUGCCCUUCCUCUCAGGGAGGAUGUUUGGUAAUGAUGUUCUCCUCUACGCAUAAUUAUUUUUCACAUGUAUAUUACGGUUUCUUAUUGAAAUACUCUCUUGUAUCUGUUUUUUAUGAUGUUUUGUUAACGUGUAUGUAGGUACCCAUGCAUCCCUUUGUCAUUUUGCAUAGGGGAUGCAGCCUUAGGCCUAAAAAUAAAACACUCUGGGCCUGAGGCUCUUGCCAAUUUUUUUACGAAUAGGAAACGCCCGGGCGGAACCUA
Molecule: long non-coding RNA, 1915 nt
Organism: Dromaius novaehollandiae (emu)
Lineage: Eukaryota; Metazoa; Chordata; Aves; Casuariiformes; Dromaiidae
Exons: 4
Source: RefSeq, a predicted model, not a curated record